This 149-nucleotide non-coding RNA is filed under the name Trichinella zimbabwensis. Lineage: Eukaryota; Metazoa; Nematoda; Enoplea; Trichinellida; Trichinellidae. The record is from Rfam by way of RNAcentral.
UCGUUGUGAUAUUAAUCCUGCUCAGUGCGCGGGAUCAGACGUUUUUUUUUUCAUGCUCUCGGCUGAAAAGCCGAUAGCACGAAGCCAGCAUCCUGAAGAUUAUGAUUGAACGCCUCAAAGUCAGAAUCUUUUCUAGUCAUAUCCAACAA